RNAcentral lists this ribosomal RNA (429 nucleotides) under Chloroflexota bacterium. RNAcentral's name for it is "Chloroflexi bacterium partial 16S ribosomal RNA". It matches the Rfam family "Bacterial small subunit ribosomal RNA", at positions 355 to 776 of the family's 1533-position model. The record is from RNAcentral. Lineage: Bacteria; Bacillati; Chloroflexota.
UGGGGAAUAUUGCACAAUGGGCGCAAGCCUGAUGCAGCCAUGCCGCGUGUAUGAAGAAGGCCUUCGGGUUGUAAAGUACUUUCAGCGGGGAGGAAGGGAGUAAAGUUAAUACCUUUGCUCAUUGACGUUACCCGCAGAAGAAGCACCGGCUAACUCCGUGCCAGCAGCCGCGGUAAUACGGAGGGUGCAAGCGUUAAUCGGAAUUACUGGGCGUAAAGCGCACGCAGGCGGUUUGUUAAGUCAGAUGUGAAAUCCUCGGGCUCAACCUGGGAACUGCAUCUGAUACUGGCAAGCUUGAGUCUCGUAGAGGGGGGUAGAAUUCCAGGUGUAGCGGUGAAAUGCGUAGAGAUCUGGAGGAAUACCGGUGGCGAAGGCGGCCCCCUGGACGAAGACUGACGCUCAGGUGCGAAAGCGUGGGGAGCAAGCAGG